UGCAGUCGAACGAAGGCUUCGGCCUUAGUGGCGCACGGGUGCGUAACGCGUGGGAAUCUGCCCUUAGGUACGGAAUAACAGUGAGAAAUUACUGCUAAUACCGUAUGAUGACGUAAGUCCAAAGAUUUAUCGCCUAGGGAUGAGCCCGCGUAGGAUUAGCUAGUUGGUGAGGUAAAGGCUCACCAAGGCGACGAUCCUUAGCUGGUCUGAGAGGAUGAUCAGCCACACUGGGACUGAGACACGGCCCAGACUCCUACGGGAGGCAGCAGUGGGGAAUAUUGGACAAUGGGCGAAAGCCUGAUCCAGCAAUGCCGCGUGAGUGAUGAAGGCCUUAGGGUUGUAAAGCUCUUUUACCCGGGAAGAUAAUGACUGUACCGGGAGAAUAAGCCCCGGCUAACUCCGUGCCAGCAGCCGCGGUAAUACGGAGGGGGCUAGCGUUGUUCGGAAUUACUGGGCGUAAAGCGUACGUAGGCGGCUUUGUAAGUUAGAGGUGAAAGCCUGGUGCUCAACACCAGAACUGCCUUUAAGACUGCAUCGCUUGAACGUCGGAGAGGUGAGUGGAAUUCCGAGUGUAGAGGUGAAAUUCGUAGAUAUUCGGAAGAACACCAGUGGCGAAGGCGGCUCACUGGACG
RNAcentral lists this ribosomal RNA (632 nucleotides) under Sphingomonas sp. M68C12. Its description in RNAcentral is "bacterial SSU rRNA". It matches the Rfam family "Bacterial small subunit ribosomal RNA", at positions 56 to 735 of the family's 1533-position model. Lineage: Bacteria; Pseudomonadati; Pseudomonadota; Alphaproteobacteria; Sphingomonadales; Sphingomonadaceae. The record is from RNAcentral.